AUUGAACGCUGGCGGCAUGCCUUACACAUGCAAGUCGAACGGCAGCACGGGAGCAAUCCUGGUGGCGAGUGGCGAACGGGUGAGUAAAGUAUCGGAACGUGCCCAGUCGUGGGGGAUAACGUAGCGAAAGUUACGCUAAUACCGCAUACGAUCUAUGGAUGAAAGCGGGGGAUCGCAAGACCUCGCGCGAUUGGAGUGGCCGAUAUCAGAUUAGGUAGUUGGUGGGGUAAAGGCUCACCAAGCCGACGAGCUGUAGCUGGUCUGAGAGGACGACCAGCCACACUGGGACUGAGACACGGCCCUGACUCCUACGGGAGGCAGCAGGGGGGAAUUUUGGACAAUGGGCGAAAGCCUGAUCCAGCCAUGCCGCGUGCAGGAUGAAGGCCUUCGGGUUGUAAACUGCUUUUGUACGGAACGAAAAGGUUUGGCCUAAUAAGCUGAGCUCAUGACGGUACCGUAAGAAUAAGCACCGGCUAACUACGUGCCAGCCGCCGCCGUAA
RNAcentral lists this ribosomal RNA (500 nucleotides) under uncultured bacterium. Its description in RNAcentral is "partial 16S ribosomal RNA". It matches the Rfam family "Bacterial small subunit ribosomal RNA", at positions 30 to 523 of the family's 1533-position model. The record is from RNAcentral.